RNA transcript from Trichosurus vulpecula (common brushtail), 1032 nucleotides. It is a transcript of the gene named chromosome 6 C4orf36 homolog, with no coding region annotated. NCBI's taxonomy places the organism in Eukaryota, Metazoa, Chordata, Mammalia, Diprotodontia, Phalangeridae. The record is from RefSeq and is a predicted model, not a curated record. The transcript has 5 exons.
GUCCCAGCAGAACUUGUUCUGAGAAGGGUGCGGGCACCAGGGCUGAACAGAACCGGCCUGAUGCCUCCGCCUGCCUGGCGCUGAGGACCGGGCCAUCCCCUCGGAAGGAGACCUCCGAGAAGGCGAACAUCGACAAAGGGUGAUAAAAGAAGAUCUUAUUUUUACAUCGAAAGAGGUCAAAUUGUAAUUAUUCGCUAUGGCAUAUGGUUUGCCAAGAAAGCACACAGUGAAAUCAAUUUUGCGUAGAAGUUGUUACAACGUUCAGGAGCCCUGGGAGCUGGCUUUGCUUACGAAAGCUUUGUACAGCAACAUUGCAAGUAUUGGAGUGCCACUUUUUGAAGAUAUUAUUUAUGGCACUCCUUUUAAAAUGAAUCUUGGGAAAAAAACAGAGGAUGUACUACUCCCCACAGCAGAAACGAUAGAAACUGAAAGGGCGUAUGAACUAAAGCGCUUAAACGAAAUUGAACUUCAGAAAAAUGCGGCGGAGCAAGUUCAGUCUUUGCUAAAAGACAAGAAAAUUGGUUUAAGAAGACCUCUUCCACCCAAGAAGUGAAAAUCACUUUAUCGUUUAGAGGCAUGUCCUUUGUCUCCAUAUCCGAAGGGGAUGAGGGGAUCCAGACCAUUCACCUUAUGACACACCACUUGGUGCAGACAAUAAGAACAUUAUCUUGACAUACUUUAAAUGGCACAUAAAUGAAAAUAAAAUGAAUAAAGAAGAGUUCUGCUUGUGGAGCACCAUCUGAAGUGCUGUAUCCACCAUAACCUAGUUAUUCUGUGGCAGAAUCAUACUUGCUGGAAAGAUGGUGGUCAUGCCAUGAUUACAUGUUGAUCUCAAGCAGCUCAAGACAGGUGCUUAGAAUGAGCUAAUAUAUAAUUUCUCACGUGUUGGUUUCCUGCUAGGAGUUUAGUGUCACAGAUGAAGCAGUUUUGCCACAUUUUUAAUUAAGAAAUUUAGUUCCCUGUGUUUUCCCUGGUAAAAUUCCCGGAGAAUUUCUUCCUUAAAGAAAAAAAGGUUCCAAUGAAGAUUUCUUG